This 1779-nucleotide ribosomal RNA is filed under the name Triticum aestivum (bread wheat). Its description in RNAcentral is "partial small subunit ribosomal RNA". Lineage: Eukaryota; Viridiplantae; Streptophyta; Magnoliopsida; Poales; Poaceae. The record is from RNAcentral.
AUGGUUUACUGUACUCACUGUGCUGAUUAUUGCCCAUACAUAAAAGAUCCUGACAAGGGAUAUAUAUGUUGUGGGACGUGUGGAAAGGUUCUUGAUCAGGAGAUUUACACUGAUGAGCCUACUUUUGUCAAGGACAGUUCCGGAGCGAGCAGGCUGGCUGGAAACAUAUUGAGCAGCAUCGAGAGUGGGAGUUCACUAUCCCACGAAAGGACUUUAAUGAAAGGGAGAGACGAGAUUUGGCAGAUUGUCACUAGCUUACAUGUUGGUGGUGGAGACACUAUCAUUGAUAUGGCUCAUAAAUUUUAUACACUAGCUGUGGACCAUAAUUUUACAAGGGGCCGUCGAACAACUCAUGUUGCAGCAGCUUGUCUUUACAUUGCCUGCCGGCAAAGUAAAAAGGCUUAUCUUCUUAUCGAUUUCUCGGACUAUUUGAAGAUUAGUGUUUAUGUCCUAGGUGCUGUUUUUCUGCAACUUUGCCAAGUUUUGCUACUUGCAGAACAUCCAAUUGUUCAGAAGCUCAUAGACCCCAGCCUUUUCAUCCAUCGUUUUACAGAACGUUUACUUGGGAAAAGGGACAAUGCUGUCUCAGACACAGCUUUACGCAUCAUAGCUAGCAUGAAGCGAGACUGGAUGCAGACUGGGAGGAAGCCAAGUGGAUUAUGUGGUGCAGCAUUAUAUAUUGCUGCACUUUCACAUGGCUAUAAUUAUACCAAGUCAAAUAUUGUUGCAGUUGUGCAUGUAUGUGAGGCAACACUAACUAAGCGCUUGAUAGAGUUUGAAAAUACAGAUUCUGGCAGCUUAACGAUUGAAGAUUUUUUGGCAAAGGCUGAUGAUGAGCCUGUUUCAAAUUUUUCUCCCAUAUCUGGAGAAGUCCUCUGCAAACACAAGGAUAAAGCUGCUGAGCAUUUUGCUCAUGGACUUUGUGAGAAGUGCUACAACAAAUUUACUAAACUGUCGGGUGGACUGGAGGGUGGUGCUGACCCUCCAGCUUUCCAACGAGCUGAAAAACUAAGACUGGAAGCUGCUAAGAAGGCCGAGGAAGCUGCUGCUAUUAAGGAAGCAAUGUUAGGAGAGUCAAUUUGUGAGAUGCAGAAUUCUGAUGCUGAGCAUAACAUCAUGAGCACUACAGAGGAUUCAGUUGGAGAUAAAUCUGCAACAAUUGGUUCUGGGGAAAUUGGAAAGGAUUAUGUAACUUCAAAAGAUCCUGAAGUGGGAGGUUUGUUAGUUGUAACAUGCAAUAGUAUCAGUGAAAAUGGUAAAGUUGAUGCUGAUCCAGAAAGUUUUUCUGAUAUUGAUGAUGUGGAGGUUGACGGGUAUCUUCACAAUGAGGAAGAGACGCAAUACAAAAAGAUAAUUUGGGAAGAAAUGAACAAAGAAUACCUAGAGGAACAAGCCGCAAAGGAAGCUUUAGCAGCUGAAUUGGCAGCUAGAGGUGUGGGCGUGGGAGAGGGGCAACAGAAGAAACGGAGACGUAAUGAAGACAUGAAGAACUCAACACCUGCUGAAACACCAGCGGAAGCAACAUACAAUAUGUUAAAACGAAAGGGACUUGGGUCAAAAAUCAACGUUGAAGCAGUUGGUGGAUUGUAUAAUACUAAAGAUGAAGCUAGUGAAGCAAAUGAAAAAGGAGACAUGGGAUUUGAUGGAGAAUAUGCACAUGACACUGGUGAUGGUGAAACAGUAGAAGGUGGCUACGACUAUGCUGAUUACAACAACGAUGGCUAUGCUGAUGGUGGUGAUGCUGGAGCCUACGAGGAUUACGAUGGGAUUGAUUACUAA